UGUCCUUGUGAUUGACAAAGAUGGUAUAAUCACGAUAAACUCUGUCAGCUAGAAUAGACUAACCAAUAUAUGUGACAACAUCUGUGAAUUCUCUUGCUCUUGGCGACUAGUAAUAACAUACUGAUGGUUUGCUCCUUUGUCAGUCUCUACAGUAGCUCUUCUAGGUGCAACUCUGUCUACCGGAGCCACUGAAAAAGAUUGGGCUCUAUUGACCCCAUUACCAUUUCCAUGCCAGUUCUUAGGGUACGGGAACUUUCUCAUGAAAUGACCUGCCUGA
Molecule: long non-coding RNA, 277 nt
Filed under: Solanum tuberosum (potato)
Lineage: Eukaryota; Viridiplantae; Streptophyta; Magnoliopsida; Solanales; Solanaceae
Description: long non-coding RNA (STUB_LNC011649)
Source: RNAcentral